This 972-nucleotide ribosomal RNA is filed under the name Datroniella minuta. RNAcentral describes it as "partial 28S large subunit ribosomal RNA". It matches the Rfam family "Eukaryotic large subunit ribosomal RNA", at positions 24 to 980 of the family's 3401-position model. Lineage: Eukaryota; Fungi; Basidiomycota; Agaricomycetes; Polyporales; Polyporaceae. The record is from RNAcentral.
UACCCSGSUGAAACUUAAGCAUAUCAAUAAGCGGAGGAWAAGGGACUGACWWKGWUUCASYUWGUMWCUGSGAGUGAAGCGGGAUAAGCUCAAAUUUAAAAUCUGGCGGCUUUGCUGUCCGAGUUGUAGUCUGGAGAAGUGCUUUCCGUGCUGGACCGUGUAUAAGUCUCUUGGAAUAGAGCGUCAUAGAGGGUGAGAAUCCCGUCUUUGACACGGACUACCAGUGCUUUGUGAUGCGCUCUCAAAGAGUCGAGUUGUUUGGGAAUGCAGCUCAAAAUGGGUGGUAAACUCCAUCUAAAGCUAAAUAUUGGCGAGAGACCGAUAGCGAACAAGUACCGUGAGGGAAAGAUGAAAAGCACUUUGGAAAGAGAGUUAAACAGUACGUGAAAUUGCUGAAAGGGAAACGCUUGAAGUCAGUCGCGUUGUUCAAAACUCAGCCUUGCUCUGCUUGGUGCACUUUUUGAAUAACGGGCCAGCAUCAAUUUUGACCGUUGGAAAAGGGUUGGGGGAAUGUGGCACCUUCUGGUGUGUUAUAGCCUCUAGUCGCAUACAACGAUUGGGAUUGAGGACCGCAGCGCGCCGUAAGGCAGGGGUUCGCCCACUUUCGCGCUUAGGAUGCUGGCAUAAUGGCUUUAAACGACCCGUCUUGAAACACGGACCAAGGAGUCUAACAUGCCUGCGAGUGUUUGGGUGGAAAACCCGAGCGCGUAAUGAAAGUGAAAGUUGAGACCUCUGUCGUGGAGGGCAUCGACGCCCGGACCUGACGUUCUCUGACGGAUCCGCGGUAGAGCAUGUAUGUUGGGACCCGAAAGAUGGUGAACUAUGCCUGAAUAGGGUGAAGCCAGAGGAAACUCUGGUGGAGGCUCGUAGCGAUUCUGACGUGCAAAUCCAUCGUCAAAUUYSSGUAUARSGKCGAARRACUMMYCGMMCCAUCUAGUAGCUGGUUCCUGCCGAAKUUYYCCCYYCARGRAA